This 500-nucleotide ribosomal RNA is filed under the name uncultured bacterium. Its description in RNAcentral is "bacterial SSU rRNA". It matches the Rfam family "Bacterial small subunit ribosomal RNA", at positions 29 to 516 of the family's 1533-position model. The record is from RNAcentral.
AGCGAACGUUAGCGGCGGGCCUAACACAUGCAAGUCGAACGAGAAAACCUUCGGGUGAGUACAGUGGCGCACGGGUGAGGAACGCGUAGGUAAUCCACCCUCUGGCGGGGGACAACACUCCGAAAGGAAUGCUAAUACCGCGUAAGACCACGCUCACUACGGUGAAAGUGGUUAAAGGUGCCUCAAAGCACCACCAGAGGACGAGCCUGCGUCCCAUCAGCUUGUUGGUAAGGUAACGGCUUACCAAGGCGAAGACGGGUAGCUGGUCUGAGAGGAUGAUCAGCCACACUGGCACUGGAACACGGGCCAGACUCCUACGGGGAGGCAGCAGUGAGGAAUAUUGGGCAAUGGGCGCAAGCCUGACCCAGCCACGCCGCGUGUGUGAUGAAGGCCUUCGGGUCGUAAAGCACUGUGGGGAGAGACGAAACAGCGCACCAGGAAAUGGGUGCGCCUUGACGGUACCUCCUUAGCAAGCACCGGCUAACUCUGUGCCAGCAGCC